Molecule: small RNA, 648 nt
Filed under: Pongo abelii (Sumatran orangutan)
Lineage: Eukaryota; Metazoa; Chordata; Mammalia; Primates; Hominidae
Description: retained intron
Source: RNAcentral
GACAGAUGUAGGCAUCACACACUUUCGUUCAGGAAUGAGUCAUGAAGAAGACCAGCUCAUCCCCAACUUGUACCGCUACAUACAGCCAUGGGAGAGCGAGUUCAUUGAUUCUCAGCGGGUCUGGGCUGAGUACGCACUCAAGAGGCAAGAGGCCAUUGCUCAGAACAGACGCCUGACUUUAGAAGACCUAGAAGAUUCAUGGGAUCGUGGCAUUCCUCGAAUCAAUACCCUCUUCCAGAAGGACCGGCACACACUGGCUUAUGAUAAGGGCUGGCGUGUCAGAACUGACUUUAAGCAGUAUCAGGUAUGUGGAGGGAGGAGAUUUUCCCUGAGUCAGGAAAAUCCAUGGCUAUCCCGGAAACUUGGGGCAAUAGGCACCCAGAAGCUUGACCAUGCCUGCCUUGCCAUCUAGGUUUUGAAGCAGAAUCCGUUCUGGUGGACACACCAGCGGCAUGAUGGGAAGCUCUGGAACCUGAACAACUACCGUACAGACAUGAUCCAGGCCCUGGGCGGUGUGGAAGGCAUUCUGGAACACACACUCUUUAAGGGCACUUACUUCCCUACCUGGGAGGGGCUUUUCUGGUGAGGAUUCUCCUCUCUUAGAGGGACCUAUCACAACCCUUUGAGCUCAUCUCUUGUGUGCAUCUG